UACAGAGGUCUCAAGCGUUGUUCGGAUUCAUUGGGCGUAAAGGGUGCGUAGGUGGCGGGGUAAGUCGGAUGUGAAAUCCCGGGGCUCAACCCCGGAACUGCAUUCGAUACUGCCUUGCUCGAGUACUGGAGAGGAGAUUGGAAUUUACGGUGUAGCGGUGAAAUGCGUAGAUAUCGUAAGGAAGACCAGUGGCGAAGGCGACUACCUGGCCCAUUCUUGACGCUGAGGCGCGAAAGCUAGGGGAGCGAACGGG
This 253-nucleotide ribosomal RNA is filed under the name uncultured bacterium. RNAcentral's name for it is "partial 16S ribosomal RNA". It matches the Rfam family "Bacterial small subunit ribosomal RNA", at positions 524 to 776 of the family's 1533-position model. The record is from RNAcentral.